GGAGGCCGGCAGGAAGGGCCUCGAGCCCAGUGCGGACCUUUCUUCAGCCUCUGUGCGACCGAGCCGCGCGCCAGGCUCCUGUGCGAGGAGGACGCGCUGACUCCCUCCGACCUGGGCUCCGAUGGAGCAGAAAUAGCGGGACCUGGACUUGUGGCGCGCCUGGUGCCACAUCUCGGGCUCUGCGAGCGUCCUGGCGCGGGAUCCUGCCUAAUGUCUUACAAUAACAGAAUGCAGGAGAGCACAUAUCAAUGAAGAAAAGACAAAAUGUACUUAUCCAUGAAGCUGAGGUUAAGAAACCAGUGUCUUCAAGAGCCAGGGACAGCACUGGGUCUGUGCAGAGUUGAGAGAUGGUGAUGACAUGUGGUUUCCAGCAUUCCUCACCCAGUCCAGGGACACUGUGGGUGUGCCCAGCUUAAGUCCAGUAACUGGAAAUACAAGCCCAAGUUCUGGAGAGUUUGAGCUGCAG
This 466-nucleotide long non-coding RNA is filed under the name Homo sapiens (human). RNAcentral describes it as "non-protein coding MAGI2-AS3:26". The record is from RNAcentral. Lineage: Eukaryota; Metazoa; Chordata; Mammalia; Primates; Hominidae.